Molecule: long non-coding RNA, 469 nt
Organism: Columba livia (rock pigeon)
Lineage: Eukaryota; Metazoa; Chordata; Aves; Columbiformes; Columbidae
Exons: 3
Source: RefSeq, a predicted model, not a curated record
UCUCGAACAUUCACCACCUGAGGAACGUUCUUCAGAGUUGAUUCAGUCAAGGAGGUGCUUACAGCUUUAAGAAAAAAAAAAAAAAAGGAGGUAAAGAUGAUCUCCAUAUUAAGCAUUUCAAUCAAUAUAGUGCCUGUAAUAACUCCAGAAGAAAUCCAUGCAAGUUUCUAGAAGUUUCCUGCACACAGAUCAGCCGCCGUGCCAGGAUCUCCAGAGUCAUCGACAUUUCUGUCAUUGCACAGACAAAGGCACCUGAGGAUCUGAAGCACUGGCAAUAGAUAGAGUGGUUAAAGAUAUUGACAAGGAUACACGCAGAUCGCAAAAACAACUCGCACAAAGUACCCAGGGGAAGGUGCUGUUUCCCAAAGGAUGGAGACUGAGGCAUCAAACCAGGCUGGAUAGAGGGGGUUCGGACCACAGGAGCAUGACGAGGGACUUGGACUGGAGCAGCCUCUUCUUCCUGGUCCAC